RNAcentral lists this long non-coding RNA (208 nucleotides) under Nicotiana benthamiana. RNAcentral describes it as "long non-coding RNA (NBEN_LNC028507)". Lineage: Eukaryota; Viridiplantae; Streptophyta; Magnoliopsida; Solanales; Solanaceae. The record is from RNAcentral.
UGGACGUAGAAUACGGCCAAAGGAACCAUAGUCACUUCCCCUCCAUUACCAAAUUACAAUUUUUGGGCGUUUACGGCCAUAAAAUUGGAAAAUCCGCGCGAGUCCCAAUUUUUCGUGUGCUACAGCCCACGCCUUCUUCAGUGGCCCCGGGACCCCGGACCCGGAUCGUCUAAAAAUUUUCAUGGAUGUAGAAUACGGCCAAAGGAAC